UACGGGGGGGGCAAGCGUUGUUCGGAAUUACUGGGCGUAAAGGGCGCGUAGGCGGUCUACUAAGUUGGAUGUGAAAACUCUGGGCUUAACCCAGAGCCUGCAUUCAAAACUGAUAGGCUGGAGUUCUGGAGGGGAUAGCGGAAUUCCUGGUGUAGCGGUGAAAUGCGUAGAUAUCAGGAGGAACACUGGUGGCGAAGGUGGCUAUCUGGACAGAAACUGACGCUGAGGCGCGAAAGCUAGGGGAGCAAACAGG
Molecule: ribosomal RNA, 253 nt
Filed under: uncultured bacterium
Lineage: Bacteria
Description: partial 16S ribosomal RNA
Rfam family: Bacterial small subunit ribosomal RNA
Source: RNAcentral